UACGGAGGAUGCAAGCGUUAUCCGGAAUUAUUGGGCGUAAAGCGUCCGCAGGCGGCUAGAUAAGUCUGCUUUCAAAGAGUGGGGCUCAACCCCAUAGAGGGAGUGGAAACUGUUUAGCUAGAGUAUGGUAGGGGCAGAGGGAAUUCCCAGUGUAGCGGUGAAAUGCGUAGAUAUUGGGAAGAACACCAGUGGCGAAGGCGCUCUGCUGGACCGAGACUGACGCUGAGGGACGAAAGCUAGGGGAGCGAAAGGG
Molecule: ribosomal RNA, 253 nt
Filed under: uncultured bacterium
Lineage: Bacteria
Description: partial 16S ribosomal RNA
Rfam family: Bacterial small subunit ribosomal RNA
Source: RNAcentral